RNAcentral lists this ribosomal RNA (301 nucleotides) under uncultured bacterium. Its description in RNAcentral is "partial 16S ribosomal RNA". It matches the Rfam family "Bacterial small subunit ribosomal RNA", at positions 509 to 807 of the family's 1533-position model. The record is from RNAcentral.
CAGCAGCCACGGUAAUACGAAGGGGGCUAGCGUUGUUCGGAUUUACUGGGCGUAAAGCGCACGUAGGCGGACUUUUAAGUCAGGGGUGAAAUCCCGGGGCUCAACCCCGGAACUGCCUUUGAUACUGGAAGUCUUGAGUAUGGUAGAGGUGAGUGGAAUUCCGAGUGUAGAGGUGAAAUUCGUAGAUAUUCGGAGGAACACCAGUGGCGAAGGCGGCUCACUGGACCAUUACUGACGCUGAGGUGCGAAAGCGUGGGGAGCAAACAGGAUUAGAUACCCCUGUAGUCCCUGUCUCUUAUAC